This 397-nucleotide ribosomal RNA is filed under the name uncultured bacterium. RNAcentral describes it as "partial 16S ribosomal RNA". It matches the Rfam family "Bacterial small subunit ribosomal RNA", at positions 523 to 918 of the family's 1533-position model. The record is from RNAcentral.
AUACGUAGGUGGCGAGCGUUGUCCGGAUUUACUGGGUGUAAAGGGCGCGUAGGCGGGCUAUCAAGUCAGAUGUGAAAUACCGGGGCUUAACUCCGGAGCUGCAUUUGAAACUGACAGUCUUGAGUAUCGGAGAGGAAAGCGGAAUUCCUAGUGUAGCGGUGAAAUGCGUAGAUAUUAGGAGGAACACCAGUGGCGAAGGCGGCUUUCUGGACGACAACUGACGCUGAGGCGCGAAAGUGUGGGGAGCAAACAGGAUUAGAUACCCUGGUAGUCCACGCUGUAAACGAUGAAUGCUAGGUGUAGGGGGUAUCGACCCCUUCUGUGCCGCAGUCAACACAAUAAGCAUUCCGCCUGGGGAGUACGGCCGCAAGGUUGAAACUCAAAUGAAUUGGCGGGG